This 220-nucleotide ribosomal RNA is filed under the name Cardiochiles sp. JCB-2006. Its description in RNAcentral is "partial 28S ribosomal RNA". It matches the Rfam family "Eukaryotic large subunit ribosomal RNA", at positions 602 to 785 of the family's 3401-position model. The record is from RNAcentral. Lineage: Eukaryota; Metazoa; Arthropoda; Insecta; Hymenoptera; Braconidae.
UUUAUUUACCAGUCAGCAAUGCUACUGCUUUGGGUACUUACAGGACCCGUCUUGAAACACGGCCCAAGGAGUCUAACAUGUGCGCAAGUCAUUGGGAUUUUUUUUAAAACAAACCUAAAGGCGUAAUGAAAGUAAAGAUUGUCUUUAUGACAAUUGAGGGAAGAUGGGUUAUAUUACGAUAUAAUCCCGCACUCCCCAGGAUGUCUUAUUCUCAUGAGAA